RNAcentral lists this non-coding RNA (159 nucleotides) under Candidatus Hungatella pullicola. Its description in RNAcentral is "glmS glucosamine-6-phosphate activated ribozyme". It matches the Rfam family "glmS glucosamine-6-phosphate activated ribozyme aptamer", at positions 11 to 151 of the family's 167-position model. From Rfam's summary of the family: This entry contains a glucosamine-6-phosphate activated ribozyme that is found in the mRNA for GlmS. Lineage: Bacteria; Bacillati; Bacillota; Clostridia; Lachnospirales; Lachnospiraceae. The record is from RNAcentral.
CUAAGCGCCAGUACCUACCCGACAGGAACGGGAACAGUGGAAACACUGCUGUCGGCGGUUGACGAGGUGAAGGGUGAUCGAAUAUUCGGCGGAUGCUCUUCCAUGCCUUCCGGGCGUGUAAUUCCAGAAUAAAUAUGCGGGAAACUGCAAAACAAAAGU